CAGUGUUACACGAUGGAGGUGUUUUCCUCCACAAGGAGAUAGCACCGUCCCCCACCAGGCAGCGAUUACUGACACGUUUGCCCCUCAGCCUAGAUCAGCUUACAACUCAAUGGCGGAAUUUGUUGAGCACGUUCACGUGGAGUCCGACACCCUGCUGCAAAGACUAGAGGCGAGACCUCCAGUCGUCAGGCCUGACGACGUGGCGAGCAUCCUUCGCAACUUCCGUGCACGUGCUGCCGCACUACUACGUCGUGUCUCCUGUCGGAGCGCGGCAGAUGUGGUGCAGACGUCGGGCCGACGGCCAUCACCACCACUACCCCGACGUUCCAGCGUGGAUCGGAGUGGUCUAUCCUCUUCACGUCGCGGGUACGAAGCGGCCCACACAUCUCAUGGUCGUCCUUCCUUUCAGCACACCCCAGCACCGGAGUACACCAGGGGGUCAGCCGGAUCAGGGGUACCCACGUCGAGCACAGCACCACCACGUCCGCAGGUAUUCCAAACUCCGCCUUAUGUUCACCCCUCGCAGGGAGCAUCUGGGUCGGCACACUUCCCUUACAUGCCAACGGGGGACAACGUGUUGAACACACCAGCAUGGGGACUUCAUAUCACUCCGCGUGCGCCAGAGCAGGGCCACACACAGCACACAUGUAAGUCAUUUUAAACAAUAACACGCUUUAGUUUCUAAUUAUAUGUAUCGUUACUAACUACGCCAUAUUUUUUGGUUUCUCCCUCUUGUGCAAACAGACGAUGAGUACAGUUCGGCGUCGACGCAUCACGGAAUGCCUGCUUACUCCCCUCGCACAGCAUUCAUUGAGGACUUCUUUUCCACUGAUCCUCCCCAGGGGGAAGUAGGGAUGGAUUACUGGCACGCAGCACCUCAGGUCACACAGCUGACGCAGGAGACAAAGGCCGGUCAGGGGCCAGACGUGACACCACAGCAGGCAGCUAGAGAUAGGCACCCCCCUGAUAAUUUGACAUAUCCCACUGAGCAGAUUAGGCGUAGGAAGAAGGGAGGACCUAGCAAGCGUGCGAAGGGCACUGAUCGUCCUUGACUUAUCUAUUUGUAUUAAACUUUUAGUCAUUUAUGUUCUGUCCGUACUAUUUGAGAAACACUUUACGAUUAACUUAGUACUAUCAGUACUAUUUCAUAAA
This is a non-coding RNA of Oryza sativa Japonica Group (Japanese rice), 1152 nucleotides long. The record is from RefSeq and is a predicted model, not a curated record. Lineage: Eukaryota; Viridiplantae; Streptophyta; Magnoliopsida; Poales; Poaceae.